Molecule: ribosomal RNA, 311 nt
Filed under: uncultured Anaeroplasmataceae bacterium
Lineage: Bacteria; Bacillati; Mycoplasmatota; Mollicutes; Anaeroplasmatales; Anaeroplasmataceae
Description: partial 16S ribosomal RNA
Source: RNAcentral
GGAGUCUGGGCCGUGUCUCAGUCCCAAUGUGGCCGAUUAGCCUCUCAGCUCGGCUACGCAUCCAUGCCUUGGUGGGCCAUUAUCCCGCCAACUAGCUAAUGCGACGCAGGGCCAUCCUUAAGCGCGACAAUAGUCGCCUUUGAGCACAUAAGCCUGCGCUUACGUGCUGUUAUCCGGCAUUAGCAAACGUUUCCGCUUGGUAUUCCGGUCUAAAGGGCAGGUUCCCAACGUGUUACUCACCCGUACGCCACUAGGUGUAUUGCUACACCUCGUUCGACUUGCAUGUAUUAGGCACGCCGCCAGCGUUUAUC